UCAACAUCUGAACCAAAAAGCUGCAUUUACUACAGUACUUACUUAAGGGAGGUGGAGCUGGGCCUGUUAGGUGCAAUCCCUACACCAGCUGAGCCGGGAGAUCUGAACAUCAGGCAAUGAGUUUGCAAGAUGGUUUAACAACUAUGAACAUGUGGUGUCCUCACAGGAAUCCUGUGGGCUGAACAGCAGCCGCCCCUCCUUCCACCCAGCACAAAACUUGGUUUGCCCCGCUCACUCUAAAUCUGGGCCUUCAAUGAAUGUUCAGUGGAGUUCUUCUGUGGAAAAAAAUAAAUGGGAAAGGAAGGCUGGAGAGGCCUUUAUUAGCCUAAGGGGCAGUGGAGGGUAAAAGGGCUGUGACUCUUGGUUGGCUUCUUCUUUUUCUUUAUUGUUUUUUGUUUUGUUUUGUUUUGUUUUUUCUGGUAGCUUCUUUAUCUCAGUGUUUUUUCUUUUUCUUUUCUUUUUUUUUUGAGACAGGGUCUCACUCUGUCACCCAAACUGGAGUGCAGCAGUGCAAUCAUAACUUAGCGGGGCUCAAGCAAUCCUCCCACCUCAGCCUCCCUAGUGGCUGGGACUACAGGUGUGCACCACCACACCCGGCUAAUUUUUGUAUCUUAUUGUAGACACAGGUUUUCGCCACGUUGCCCAGGCUGGUCUCAAACUCCUGGGCUCAACUGAUCCCCUUGCCAGGGCUUCUCAAAGUGCUGGGAUCAUAGGCAUGAGCCGCCAUGCCUAACCCUUAUCUGAGUUUUUGUAACAGUUUGACCAACAAGCUUGUUGUUGGAAAGCUGUAAGAGUCCUGGAAAUUUCCCUGGGGCCUGAGGAAUCAAACACUGCUCUACAAGGGGAGGCUUUCUGUCCUGAGAGUUCAGGCUUUAGGGGCUGGCUGGAGGCCUCAGGCAGAGAUGAAGGCCCAGUUAUGAUUUCCUUCACUGGAGUCCAUCAUUAAUGAGCGCCUUGGCUGGGGGGAUGCCUGCUAAGAGGGCAUGGAGUACAGAUCCUCCACUGACACCCCCACACUCCUAGCAGCAAGCAGGACUUAGUGGCCCCACUUACUCCCUACAGGGUAGGAAAAGACGGCAGUGCCCUGGUGAGGAGCUGUAUAGGGGGUCCUUCAGGAUGCUUGCUGGGAGGGGUGGGGAGGGCACAGGACGUGCUGGGACCCCACUGGGAUCUAAGCCCCUCCCAGCUGAUUUAUUCUUAGGAUCUGUAAUGCUCGCCUGCAUGUGCCCCGAACUUCAGAAGGCCCAAGAAUCAACCCUGACAAAUGUCUUUUUGUCCUGUAUUCAGUAGAGAUAAGAUUAAAAAAAAAAAUUAGUAGAGGGCAAAAAACAGUGGUUUACUCUCUUUACUGGCAUUCAAGAAACUUCUUCGGUUUGAUAGGCUUUAAGCUUCUUCCCAGAUUCAAAAUGCUGUGAUUGGCACUAAAUGGAUCCCUAUCUCUGCCCAGGAAUUCCGGCUUCUGGCUGCAAAGCCUUUGGGGUCCUUGCAAUGGGGCAGGUAUAACUUCCCAUAUUCUCUUCCUCAAUCUUCCUUUCCUGCCCCUCCCUCUCUAUUUUUUUUUUUUUUUUUUUUUUUUUGAGACAAGGUCUCACACCGUAACCCAGGCUGAAGAGCAGUGGUGCAAUCAUGGCUCACUGCAGACUCAACCUCCUAGGCUCAAGCAAUCCUCCCACCUCAGCCUCCCGAGUAGCUGGGACCACAGGCACAUGCCACUACGUCCAGCUCAUUUUUGUAUUUGUUGCAGUGAUGGGGAUUUGCCAUGUUGCCCAGGCUGGCCUUGAACUUCUGGGCUCAAGCCAUCCUCUCACUUCAGCCUCUCAAAGUGCUGGGAUUGUAGGCUUGAGCCACUGUGCCCUGCCUGCCUUUCUGUUCUGAUGCAGGAAGCCCUGACUUUGGAGUCCUUCCCUGUGGAUCACCUCUGAUAAAUCUAGUCUCUUGUUCAUCUGCUCUUUUAUUUAUUAAAAAAACUUUUUAAAAAGACUAGUAAAGUGCAGUAGUGAGAAGGUGGGAAAGGGUAGAACAAGGAGCUCGAUCUGUAACUGACUGUGAACAAUCAGUUGAGAUAACUCACUACCUUUGGACCAGCCUCAUCUGCCCUUUUGAAUGGUUCCUCUCAGUUUUUUCAUCUGUAAAAUGUGAAUCGUGCGUGGCAGGAGGUGAGUGGGGAUUUGUAGUGGAGAAUUCUCAAGGUCUCUCCCAGCUCUGACACUUGGGGACUCAGGGAGUCUACCAAGGGCAAAGGCAUCAUCCUAAGUGCAGGUUCGUGUGUGGGGGUGUAUGAAACAGUUAAGAUGAAGUGCCCAUCCUCAAGGAGUUUGCAGUUGAGUAGCUCAGUGGCAUGCAUAAUAAAUCUCAGGUAGGCCCGGUGUGGUGGCUCAUGCCUGAAAUCCCAGCACUUUGGGAGGCUGAGGUGGGUGGAUCACGAGGUCAGGAGUUUGAGACCGGCCUGACCAACAUGGUGAAACCCUGUUGCUACUAAAAAUACAGAAAUUAGCUGGGCGUGGUGUGGGCGCCU
This 2515-nucleotide long non-coding RNA is filed under the name Homo sapiens (human). RNAcentral's name for it is "HSALNT0166789". The record is from RNAcentral. Lineage: Eukaryota; Metazoa; Chordata; Mammalia; Primates; Hominidae.